Tauraco erythrolophus (red-crested turaco) is the source of this 313-nucleotide non-coding RNA. The record is from RefSeq and is a predicted model, not a curated record. NCBI's taxonomy places the organism in Eukaryota, Metazoa, Chordata, Aves, Musophagiformes, Musophagidae.
AGAGGAAACCCUGCUGCAGUACCAGGACUUGGCCUCUUCUCUUCGGCUCUUGAAAGCAGAGCAUUUCAGUGCUGGUUUGGAGUUGGUACACCAGAUCAAGGAGCGUCUCUUUGCAAUUCUCUGGCACUCCACACAGGAUUUCCGGGUUGGGCUCCAGACUUUGGCAGAUCCUGGUCAGAGAAAGGCGAAACUCUCAAAUGUGCCUACUUCAGCCUCUGCCUGUAUAGGGUCAAAAUGUACCAUUUUGUGUGACUCCUCCAACACAGAUGAAGGUGGAAAAGACGUUGAUGAUGAGGAGUAUGAACCACAGUGG